Molecule: non-coding RNA, 95 nt
Filed under: unclassified sequences
Description: DUF3800-IX RNA
Rfam family: DUF3800-IX RNA
About the family: Actinobacteria, Firmicutes (1 example), Nitrospirae, Proteobacteria, Verrucomicrobia (1 example).
Source: Rfam by way of RNAcentral
UUCCCCUCGGCGAAAGAGUGCCCUCAUUGGGCGCGUGCCAGGUGGUUGAAUGCUCUGCAUAAGAGCCAUAACCUGGAUAGCCGAGGCGGUUUUAU